This 83-nucleotide transfer RNA is filed under the name Gonium pectorale. It matches the Rfam family "tRNA". Rfam says of the family: Transfer RNA (tRNA) molecules are approximately 80 nucleotides in length. Their secondary structure includes four short double-helical elements and three loops (D, anti-codon, and T loops). Lineage: Eukaryota; Viridiplantae; Chlorophyta; Chlorophyceae; Chlamydomonadales; Volvocaceae. The record is from Rfam by way of RNAcentral.
GGCUUCGUGGCGUAAUGGUGGCGCGUCGGAUUCCAAUAUAUGGUACCAUCCGAAGGUUGUGGGUUCGAUCCCCACCGAGGUCA